This 279-nucleotide ribosomal RNA is filed under the name Pseudo-nitzschia fraudulenta. RNAcentral describes it as "partial Eukaryotic small subunit ribosomal RNA". It matches the Rfam family "Eukaryotic small subunit ribosomal RNA", at positions 1175 to 1480 of the family's 1831-position model. The record is from RNAcentral. Lineage: Eukaryota; Bacillariophyta; Bacillariophyceae; Bacillariales; Bacillariaceae.
AGUGGAGCCUGCGGCUUAAUUUGACUCAACACGGGGAAACUUACCAGGUCCAGACAUUGUGAGGAUUGACAGAUUGAGAGCUCUUUCUUGAUUCGAUGGGUGGUGGUGCAUGGCCGUUCUUAGUUGGUGGAGCGAUUUGUCUGGUUAAUUCCGUUAACGAACGAGACCUCAGCCUGCUAACUAGCUUCUUUAGUCUACCUAUUGUAGCUUCUUAGAGGGACUGCAGACGCAAUCUGAGGAGGUGUGAGGCAAUAACAGGUCUGUGAUGCCCUUAGAUGU